CCAUGCGGCUUUAUGUUAAAGGGAGCUGCUAUGGCUGCCCUUUGCAAGUGGCGUUGACGGAUGGGUCUUGCGCAAUAGAAGUCCGCGAACCGUGUCAGGUUGGGAACAAAGCAGCACUAAGCGGAAUUUUCUAUGUGCCGCAAGGGUGCCUGUCCCAAGCUAACUGCAAAGGUAACGCAUGGCAGUUUCCUUUAGAAUAAAGAGCAUGG
This 209-nucleotide signal recognition particle RNA is filed under the name Lachnospiraceae bacterium. Its description in RNAcentral is "signal recognition particle sRNA large type". It matches the Rfam family "Bacterial large signal recognition particle RNA". Rfam says of the family: The signal recognition particle (SRP) is a universally conserved ribonucleoprotein involved in the co-translational targeting of proteins to membranes. Archaeal SRP consists of a 7S RNA and homologues of the eukaryotic SRP19 and SRP54 proteins. The record is from RNAcentral. Lineage: Bacteria; Bacillati; Bacillota; Clostridia; Lachnospirales; Lachnospiraceae.